AGAAGCUCUUGACACAGAUUUCGUGUGAUUCUGCCGUUGAAAAUGUAUGUGACAAAAAUACUCCUAUGUUAUGUUCUUAAAUAUCGUGUAAAAGCAGAACACCAUUUAAAACAAAUUACCUGGCUGCUUGUCAUAGGCCUGGAUAUGUAACCUGGCAACAAUGAUACGAGGUAAUUGGACUGGAGAAUUCGAUACUACGAUGGAGCAGCUGAGAGUGGCCAUUGUCACAGUAAAUUCUACCGGAGUGGACGCAGGAC
Long non-coding RNA from Meriones unguiculatus (Mongolian gerbil), 257 nucleotides. RefSeq lists it as uncharacterized. The transcript has 3 exons. NCBI's taxonomy places the organism in Eukaryota, Metazoa, Chordata, Mammalia, Rodentia, Muridae. The record is from RefSeq and is a predicted model, not a curated record.